CAGAAAGACCCUUCCUUUUGGCUCUGGAUGUUGCUUUUAUCUUCUAGCUUUAAAAAUACUACAUUUUUCAAGCACUACUAAUUUAGGUGGUUAACCAUCUUUUUCCACAGAAUUUUCUUUCUUUCUUUCUUUUUUCAAUGAACUUCAUAUUUUUAAAGCAGGAGUCUAAAGGAGAAAUCAGAGUGUAAUUGGAAUAUUGUGCUGCAUUUUCUUUCCUGUGACUCUGUGUCUGUUUAGGUCAUCAGCUGCACCCUCAGUAUUAUUGUUGAUGAGAGCAGAGACACCAGGGGUGCAAAAUAUUUCUGUACCAAACAGAAUUCCCGAAUUAGGUGUGUAUACAGUCUCAACUCUGUUAACCUUUGGUUCUGCAUGGGGCAUCUUUAGUUCAUCUUGUAGACAAGACAGAUUGAAAAGGAGCCUCAAACUAAGGAGUAUGUUACAGCUAGACCUGCGAUAUUGCCAUGCCUGAAGAACAUGUGGUUGUGUAUUUAUUGGUGCAGGGAGUCACCUGUUUGUACAGCUACUUGAGACCCACAAGCCCAUGAGGAUGAAGGAACUGCAACUGUUGCUGAAUUAUGCUUCUUUCCACAGAUGAAGUGAUAAUAAGUAGAUGAGAGAAUAGAUGUUUCUGGUAUAAUUGAGAAUCUGAACAUCCAUUUCAUUGUAGUACUGUGUGCAGGAGGUACAGCAAUUGGCAAUUAUGUGAGUAAAACAGCACUGUUGCUUAGACAGUUAUUUCUCCAAUAUGCCUGAAUAUUUUUUCAUUUAUAAACCUAGUGUUAUUUUAUGGAGCAGAUGACCUAAGGAACAGAAGUUUGCAGAUCUUAAAACCUUCUGCACUAUGACUUGGCAGCUGAACCAGAAUGGCAAAUUCAGAUGAGCAGCUUCCUUCCUUGUUCUGGAGAGAUGAGUUUUCAUUGCAAAGCACAUCAACCACCUCCCCAUUUCCAUUGGAGAAUGGUGCAGGAGAUAAUGGAUAUAUAAAUCCAGUAGGAUUCUGUGUAAAUUCCUCUGGUAGUAACAAAGCAUAGAUCUUUAUUCAGCUACUUGUAAACUUGUACAAAUCUGUUGUCUUGGUAGCUAAUGUUGGUUAGGUAAUGUUGUAGCUUCACAAACUUUACUAUGGUUAGAAUAUUUUCUUCAUACUGUUCUAGCAAAAAAUAAACGUUUAGCAAAAACAAAUGCAUCA
Long non-coding RNA from Gallus gallus (chicken), 1189 nucleotides. Lineage: Eukaryota; Metazoa; Chordata; Aves; Galliformes; Phasianidae. The record is from Ensembl.